CAAAGAAAGCUAAACAAGCAAUUCGGUUUCGGCCCGCAUCAAGAACUUACAAGUUCUCUUUGUUC
RNAcentral lists this transfer RNA (65 nucleotides) under Solenaia carinata. Its description in RNAcentral is "tRNA-Arg". Lineage: Eukaryota; Metazoa; Mollusca; Bivalvia; Unionida; Unionidae. The record is from RNAcentral.